GCCUUAAACUAUGUAUACUUGGUGUAACUGGACUCAACCCUAGUUGUGCCGAAGCUAACGCGAUAAGUAUACCGCCUGGGGAGUACGCUCGCAAGGGUGAAGCUCAAAAGAAUUGACGGGGACCCGCACAAGCAGUGGAGCAUGUGGUUUAAUUCGAUGCAACGCGAAGAACCUUACCCAGGUUUGACAUGCACUUGACCGCUUCAGAAAUGAAGCUUCUCUUCGGAGCAGGUGCACAGGUGCUGCAUGGCUGUCGUCAGCUCGUGCCGUGAGGUGUUUGGUUAAGUCCAGCAACGAGCGCAACCCUUAUCAUUAGUUGCCAGCACGUAAUGGUGGGAACUCUAAUGAGACUGCCCGGGUUAACCGGGAGGAAGGUGAGGAUGACGUCAAGUCCGCAUGGCCCUUAUAUCUGGGGCUACACACGUGCUACAAUGGCAUACACAAUGGGCAGCGAAAUCGUGAGAUGAAGCAAAUCCCGCAAAGUAUGUCCCAGUUCAGAUUG
RNAcentral lists this ribosomal RNA (502 nucleotides) under uncultured bacterium. RNAcentral's name for it is "bacterial SSU rRNA". It matches the Rfam family "Bacterial small subunit ribosomal RNA", at positions 799 to 1300 of the family's 1533-position model. The record is from RNAcentral.